AUAGCCGGUGACGCUCGACGUCUAAAGACAAACAACCGGGGGAAAUGACCUCUCCCCACCUCCCCCACCCCUCUCACUCGGACGGGUGAAUCACCCCAACCCGGCUGGCGCAUAUGCCAAUCCGUCGGGCACGCUUGCCCCCGACAACCCCAUAACGCAAUUCGGCCCUCGCUCGGGACGCCAAUCCCGCCGAGGGCCUGACCAAGAGAAGGCUAGAGCCCCUUCCC
RNAcentral lists this non-coding RNA (227 nucleotides) under Streptomyces roseus. RNAcentral describes it as "Streptomyces sRNA 4677". It matches the Rfam family "Streptomyces sRNA 4677". Rfam says of the family: Located in the intergenic region between anti-sigma factor SCO4677 gene and a putative regulatory protein gene SCO4676. scr4677 expression requires the SCO4677 activity and scr4677 sRNA itself seem to affect the levels of the SCO4676-associated transcripts. The record is from Rfam by way of RNAcentral. Lineage: Bacteria; Bacillati; Actinomycetota; Actinomycetes; Kitasatosporales; Streptomycetaceae.